UAAGCCUACGAACAAAAAAGAAAAGACUCCACUUCGUUCCGUCCGCAGCGCCUUCUCCCCUCCCCUGCCGUCUCCCUCCUACCGUCGCCGCCGCUGACCAAGAUCUCGAACGGCAGCGCCUCCACCAAACCUCAACCUCGAGCAACAAUGUCCACCGCAACGCAUCAACUUCCACCCCUCAGGCAACCAACCCCGCGUCCACUUCGCCCGCUAGGCGGACGAUGUGACAUUCGACUGAUGUCUUCCCUGCACUUCCAGUCUAGCGGCGGCUCUUCGUUUGCCUCGCCGCAGCCGAGGCAGGGCCUCUCCCUCCCCCUUCGGCGAUGGCCAAGGCCACCGUGCCCCCAGCCAUGAGCAGAAGGAAGGGGUGACAUCCAGAGAUUGAUUGGUACGCUACUUGAUCCCAAACCACCAUAUGAGAGAGCUGCCACCCGAUCAAUCGGGAAUCCCAUGGCAGGGAGGAGGGGGAGCACGUUCUACGCAGUCGAUGGGCGCUAAGGCUGGCGGCCCAAUUUCAGGUGGUGGACAACUUGGUUGGAGAAAGAAACAUCGAUGGAGAUGGCAGACUCAUGUGCUACGCCUUCUUAUAUUUUCUUUCUUGCCUAAUGUAUUCUGAUAGCACUAUUUCCAAACAUAUUUUUCACUUUUUGUGUGUAUCAGGCUCAUGCACCAACCCUAUUUGCAGGAGAUUAAAGACUUUAGCAUGGAUUCAGUCCUCAAAUAUAUACAAGUUACUAUUGGUAAGAGAAAAUUAGUUAUGACUGUUGAUUAGAGUACCUACAUAACCAUGUGAAGUCUUUGAAUUCUAAGCUAUUCCAACCAAUUUUGUUUUUCGUCAUUUUCUAAAGUUGCUUCAUGGCCGUGUUGAAUAUCUAUCAAUGAUACAUCUGCAAUAGAAACAUUAUGUGACUCAAAUUUAUUAAGAUUUAUACUUGCACAACUCCCUUGCUGUUCUAAACAAAAGUAACCUGUAGAGAUUCAUAUAUACUAUCUAGACAUGUGGGCAGACUACAUUUAUUCAGUUGUGAGCUCAUCCUUCGCAUAACAUUACCCUUCACAUGUACAAAUUUCCUUAGCCUAUGCAGACUUACUGAUCAGUGAUCAAGUUCGCGCCUUAAGACAUUGGUUUUUCAUGGAGCCUUCAGUCAGGUCCUACAAAGAAAGGUUUAUUGAAUGUGUGUACAAUUUUACUUCAAGGGUAUGUUCUAUUGAGCGCUCCUCAUAACAUCCAUGGAGGGGUCGUGGCGGAUGACGCAGGAGCGGAUCGUCCGGCCGUCCUGGUCUUCUUUGGUACCAACAACGCCAGCCUGCCUGGAUAGUUGCACUCGCAGGUGUAGUAGCAAGGGCACCUCGACAGCUCUAGGAGUAUCGGGACAACCUCCACGUGAUCUACGACUACUUCAAGGUCUAUUCCAUGCCUCCCUUCAUCCCUUGUAAUUUAGAUUCACUUCCCUUAUUUCGGUGCAAAGAAUAUAUACAUUGGAUGUUGCAUAAAGAUUGUAUAAUACUUCUAAUGGUAUUUAGUUGAACCAUCCACGGUUUUAGUUGGACAGUGUUUGUAUGCAGAAUGACUAUAUUUUUUAUUUGACUUAUACACAACCUUGCCAUCAAUCGAAAUAAUUAGAUGCAACAUGUUGUUUCAACGGCUGGUUUAGAAAUUCGUUCAUAUUUUUUCUUAUUCAUUGGAAAAUCUAUUAAUGUAAAUUAUGACUGAAUUAUAUAUAGCAUGUGAAGAUAUGUAUCUAACAUUACUAUGUUCGGUAAGCCAUUUGGAGUAUCUUUUUCAAUUUUCAGGUCAGUAUGAAUAUGAUGUGGAGAAGUGACAGCGAGAAGUACACAUUUUUAUUUGUCUUGCAUCUUCCCUCAACGAAGUGCAGACAUUACUGCUGGGCAGGUUGGCCAUUUCCCUUAGAUGUACUUUUGUUGAUCCCUUAUAAUUUGCUUACACUGUAUGUUCUUCACUUCUGUGUUUUUAUAUGUUAAUUUAACAUCAUUUGGUGCCUAUAUAUGGUUUGGACAAUACUAUCAAUGAGUUCUGUUGCUGGGGCAAAAAAAAUCAAUGAGUUCUGUUGCCUCUAUGGUUUGCCCCCUUUGUUUUGUUUAUCUCAUGCAUUGUCCUUUUCUGUUUUUCCAUGACUUGUUGCAGGUUGCUGAUAAUACAGACUCGAGUCCUGACACUCCGGGUUAAACAUGUUGGUGAUCUGUGGGAUGUACAAAGAGUUGAUAAGAUAAGCACUCUCUUGAAAAUCAAUCAUAUUAGAAAUUUUGUUGGUGUACUUCUCCUUGCAUUUUGUUUCUGGUUUGUUGUGAAACAGUUUCACAUGCUGAAGUUUUUGGUGACUUACAGAAUAUUUGCA
Long non-coding RNA from Lolium perenne, 2357 nucleotides. RefSeq lists it as uncharacterized. NCBI's taxonomy places the organism in Eukaryota, Viridiplantae, Streptophyta, Magnoliopsida, Poales, Poaceae. The record is from RefSeq and is a predicted model, not a curated record.